CCUGAGAAACCCGAAAGAUCGAAUGGGGAGAUUCAUCGUCAGCGCACUCAGUAUAUGUGUAGAUUGUGAUGUGAUUUAUCCUUGUGGUAAUGUUUGCACACGUUUGCACAUUUAAUUGCUGGGUGUUGUCGGCGUGCACCUUCUCCCCUAGUAGGACGUCGCGACCCGUUGAGUGUCGGUCUAUGGCCCGGUAGGUAGUCUUUGACAUUUAUGUUGAAGGCCUCUGGUGUUUUCUGGCCGGCUGCUCGGCGGUACUCGCACGGUAUUGAGUCGCAAAUUAUUUGCGUCAAACCCGCCGCAAGUGAGAUUAAUCUUUGGUAGUUACGGACUUAGUGCCGUCGNUAAAGUUAGUCAGCUGUUCGUCGUGCGGUGUUCUAUGACUGGCUCAUAUUUUUAUUAAAUACCGGUCGGCGACGCUACUGCUUUGGG
This 429-nucleotide ribosomal RNA is filed under the name Blacus sp. MS-2002. Its description in RNAcentral is "eukaryotic LSU rRNA". The record is from RNAcentral. Lineage: Eukaryota; Metazoa; Arthropoda; Insecta; Hymenoptera; Braconidae.